CGCGGUGAAUACGUUCCCGGGCCUUGUACACACCGCCCGUCAAGCCAUGGAAGCCGGAGAUACCCGAAGUCGCCGCAAGGCGCCGAAGGUAAAAUCGGUGACUGGGGCU
RNAcentral lists this ribosomal RNA (109 nucleotides) under uncultured bacterium. Its description in RNAcentral is "partial 16S ribosomal RNA". It matches the Rfam family "Bacterial small subunit ribosomal RNA", at positions 1358 to 1482 of the family's 1533-position model. The record is from RNAcentral.